RNAcentral lists this ribosomal RNA (626 nucleotides) under uncultured bacterium. RNAcentral's name for it is "bacterial SSU rRNA". It matches the Rfam family "Bacterial small subunit ribosomal RNA", at positions 379 to 1024 of the family's 1533-position model. The record is from RNAcentral.
AACUCUGAUGCAUCGAUGCCGCGUGAGUGAAGAAGGCCUUUGGGUUGUAAAGCUCUUUUGUAGGGGAAGAUAAUGACUGUACCCUAAGAAUAAGGUCCGGCUAACUUCGUGCCAGCAGCCGCGGUAAUACGAAGGGACCUAGCGUAGUUCGGAAUUACUGGGCGUAAAGCGCGCGUAGGCCGUUGAGUUAGUUAAUUGUGAAAUCCCAAAGCUUAACUUUGGAACUGCAAUUAAAACUGCUCGACUAGAGUUUGAUAGAGGAAAGCGGAAUACAUAGUGUAGAGGUGAAAUUCGUAGAUAUUAUGUAGAACACCAGUUGCGAAGGCGGCUUUCUGGAUCAACACUGACGCUGAGGCGCGAAAGUAUGGGUAGCAAAGAGGAUUAGAUACCCUCGUAGUCCAUACCAUAAACGAUGAUUGCUAGAUGUUGGAAAUUUAUUUUCAGUAUCGCAGCUAACGCAUUAAGCAAUCCGCCUGGGGAGUACGACCGCAAGGUUAAAACUCAAAUGAAUUGACGGGGACCCGCACAAGCGGUGGAGCAUGUGGUUUAAUUCGAAGAUACGCGCAGANACUUACCAACCCUUGACAUGUCUGUCGCGAGUCUAGGAAACUAGACUUUUCGGUUCG